This is a long non-coding RNA of Oncorhynchus tshawytscha (Chinook salmon), 1447 nucleotides long. RefSeq lists it as uncharacterized. The record is from RefSeq and is a predicted model, not a curated record. NCBI's taxonomy places the organism in Eukaryota, Metazoa, Chordata, Actinopteri, Salmoniformes, Salmonidae. The transcript has 2 exons.
UGGACUGAACCAACAAUACCAACAACAUCCAUCACCCCCAAUACCUCCUGGACUGGACCAACAAUGCAAACAACAUUCAUCACCUCCUGGACUGGACCAACAUCACCAACAUCAUCCAUCAUCACCAAUACCUCCUGGACUGGACCAACAACACCAACAACAUCCAUCACCUCCAAUACCUCCUGGACUGAACCAACAACACCAACAACAUCCACGACAUGGAAAAAAACGUGUACAUUUGCCUGAAACUGGACCCUUUUGUAAAUAGCUUGACAAAAUGAACAUCAUAUAUUAACCAAAAGUCAACGGAACCUGUGCAAGCAACAGACCAGAUUACAGACCAAUGAAACACACUUAAAGGAUGCACAUGCAACAGACCAGAUUACAGACCAAUGAAACACACUUAAAGGAUGCACAUACAACAGACCAGAUUACAGACCAAUGAAACACACUUAAAGGAUGCAGGGAAGAGGAAUAACACACCAGGGUGAAGAUGGAGGACCAAUGAAACACACUUAAAGGAUGCACAUGUGAAGAGGAAUAACACACCAGGGUGAAGAUGGAGGUGAAGAUGGGGGACCCCUCCCAUCAUCCUAGACAAAUGAGAAAGGCCAGACACAGAGGAACCAGAGCCAGAGACGUCCAAACCAGCAAGACCACACCACUGCUCCCUCUGUGGAAAGAGUUUUAGCCAGUUAAUGAAUCUGAAAAGACACGAGAGAACACACAUAGGAGAUAAGCCUCAUCACUGCUCCCAUUGUGGGAAGAGUUUUACCCGAUUAGAACACCAGAAAAAACAUGAGAGAACACACACAGGAGAGAAACCUUUCCACUGCUCCCAGUGCGGAAAUAAUUUUACCCGGUUAGGGAGCCUGAAUGAGCAUAAGAGAAUUCACACAGGAGAGAAACCUUUCCACUGUUCCCUGUGUGGAAAGAAUUUUACCUGGUUAGCAAGCCUGAAUGAACAUAAGAAAAUUCACACAGGAGAGAAACCUUUCCACUGCUCCCAGUGUGGAAAGAAUUUUGCCCGGUUGUGGAACCUAAAGGAGCAUGAAAGAAUACACACUGGAGAGAAGAUAUACAAAUGUUCUCAAUGUGGAAAGAGUUUUACCUGGUUAGGUGAUCUGAAAAGACAUAAGAGGACACACACAGGAGAGAAGCCUUAGCAAUGCUCCCACUGUGGAAAGAGAUUCACCCGGGCAUGAGGGAACACGCAGACAAGAAAGCCUUACCACUGUACCCACGGUGGAGAGAGAUUUACCCAGUUAGGGAAAGACCAUGAGGGAACACACAGACAAAAAGCCUUACCGCUGCUCCCAGGAUGUAGAGAGAUUUACCCAGUUAGGGAAAGACCAUGAAGGAACACACAGACAAAAAGCCUUACCACUGUACCCCAGGUGGAGAGAGAUUUACCCAGUUAGGGAAAGACCAUGAGGGAACACACAGA